Molecule: ribosomal RNA, 844 nt
Filed under: uncultured bacterium
Lineage: Bacteria
Description: bacterial SSU rRNA
Rfam family: Bacterial small subunit ribosomal RNA
Source: RNAcentral
AGAGUUUGAUCCUGGCUCAGAAUGAACGUUGGCGGCAUGGAUUAGGCAUGCAAGUCGUACGUGAAGGGGAGCUUGCUCCCCCGAUCAGUGGCGAAAGGGAUAGUAACGCGUAGACACCUACUUCUGGACGGGGAUAGCUGCGGGAAACUGCAGGUAAUACCCGAUGAUGACGAGAGUCCAAGGUGUAAUUCCUUCAGAAGACGGAUCUGCGUCCUACCAGAUAGUUGGCGGGGUAACGGCCACCAAGUCUAAGACGGGUAGCGGGUGUGAGAGCAUGACCCGCAUCACUGGGACUGAGACCUGCCCAGACACCUACGGGUGGCUGCAGUCGAGAAUCUUCGUCAAUGGGCGAAAGCCUGACGAGCGAUGCCGCGUGCAGGAUGGAGGCCUUCGGGUUGUAAACCGCUGUCGAAUUGGAGGAAUGCAUAGUGUAGAAUUAUGCUUGACUGAUAGUAGAAGGAAGGACGGGCUAAGUUCGUGCAGCAGCCGCGGUAACACGAACCGUCCAAACGUUAUUCGGAAUCACUGGGCUUAAAGGGUCGUAGGCGGCGUUUUAAGUAAGGUGUGAAAUCCCACGUCUCAACCGUGGAACUGCGCUUUUACUGGAAUGCUUGAGUAAGAUAGAGGUAAGCGGAACUGAUAGUGGAGCGGUGAAAUGCGUGAUAUUAUCAGGAACACCAGUGGCGAAAGGCGGCUUACUGGGUCUUAACUGACGCUGAUCACGAAAGCUAGGGUAGCGAAGAGGAUUAGAUACCCUCGUAGUCCUAGCCGUAAACACUGGCGCUGGGUGGGAGGAAGCUCCAUUUUUUCCUGCCGUAGAGAAAUUGUUAAGCGCUCCGCUGGG